CUCCAGCAUUUUGUGUCUUCCUUUGGCGCAACCCAACAUCUGCAGUUCCUCCCUGCUCAUUCCUACGCCACGACCAUUUUUGAAGGCGUCCUUCGCUGGCUGGCUCUGCGAUAUCCAAGGGGAAAGGAGGAAAGGUGCUGAAAUCUUCCUCUGGGUGGAAGUUGCCUCCCCAUGCAUGGUGCUCAGGAUCCUAGAUGACUGAAUCUCCCCAGACAUUCGCUGCAAGCCUCCAAGCCCCCUCCAGCAAUACAACCAAGUUGACACAACCCUCGACAGCUGCCGACCGGCGAAUCCAUUCAGAACAUUCAGGAUUCUGGCCAGUCUCAAGUUUUAAACCUCACUACUGAAACGAGAAAUGAUUACAGAUUCACUUCUGCCGCGGAGUUGGGUCCUCCCGUUGAACCAGAAGUUGAAAUAUUUUUUCUAGCGCGAACAGAGAAAUGUUUGUAAAUCAAGCAAUAUAUUUUCUAAAAGUACCUAUUUUCCUGACCAGAGAUUGUAUAAUUAAUCAAGAAAAGAGUUUUACUUGUUGUGCAAAAUGGAGCUGACAAUCUUGUACUGUGUAUUAAGUAGAAUAUGAAUUUCUGAUAUAUAUAUAUAUAUAGAGAGAGAGAGAUACUGUCCAUUAAGGGGCAAGUCUCAGCUUUACAGACAUAAUGAUAGAUAGCCAGCUGAAUUUGUGUCUGUUGUCCUGAGUUUCUAAGCUUUCCAAUGGAACCAUGUACUAAUGAACAGAGGCCAUACAUUCCUUUGAACAAGUCAAAUGUUUAUUUUGCUGCUCUGUAUGCAAUUAUCAAUUACUAUUUGCCAUGUAACCUUGAAUAUGUACCAAUCACAGAUAUUAAACAGUUAACUGAA
Long non-coding RNA from Amblyraja radiata (thorny skate), 858 nucleotides. RefSeq lists it as uncharacterized. The transcript has 2 exons. The record is from RefSeq and is a predicted model, not a curated record. Lineage: Eukaryota; Metazoa; Chordata; Chondrichthyes; Rajiformes; Rajidae.